GGGUGAUUUGAUGCCUAUGCUCUGAAAAGAGCUGCUUGAAUAUGCUUUUCUGAGUUUCAAUGAUCUUAAAUUAAUUGCAUGAUCACAUAAGGUUGGAAUGACCCAAGAUUUUCAUAAUUAAAUGAAUUUUUAUCAUUAUUGAGGUAAUGUGCAUUGAGAGUUCUGUACAUCUUUUCUGGGCGAGGUUAAGAAAAUAAGUGGUGCUACUUGCAUAUGUGAAAGCAAGGAUUAAGAUUAGUGAAUUGGAUUUCACACCUCUUUUUAUGCACAAUAUAUACUUUUCUUUCAACACUUGAAGAUCACAUUCACUGACCAUCAAUCAGUUGCUCUU
RNAcentral lists this unclassified non-coding RNA (331 nucleotides) under Hevea brasiliensis (rubber tree). Lineage: Eukaryota; Viridiplantae; Streptophyta; Magnoliopsida; Malpighiales; Euphorbiaceae. The record is from RNAcentral.